AGUGAACGCUGGCGGUAGGCCUAACACAUGCAAGUCGAACGGCAGCACAGUAAGAGCUUGCUCUUACGGGUGGCGAGUGGCGGACGGGUGAGGAAUACAUCGGAAUCUACUUUUUCGUGGGGGAUAACGUAGGGAAACUUACGCUAAUACCGCAUACGACCUACGGGUGAAAGCAGGGGAUCUUCGGACCUUGCGCGAUUGAAUGAGCCGAUGUCGGAUUAGCUAGUUGGCGGGGUAAAGGCCCACCAAGGCGACGAUCCGUAGCUGGUCUGAGAGGAUGAUCAGCCACACUGGAACUGAGACACGGUCCAGACUCCUACGGGAGGCAGCAGUGGGGAAUAUUGGACAAAGGGCGCAAGCCUGAUCCAGCCAUACCGCGUGGGUGAAGAAGGCCUUCGGGUUGUAAAGCCCUUUUGUUGGGGAAGAAAAGCAGCAGGUUAAAACCCCGCCGUUCUGACGGUACCCAAAGAAUAAGCACCGGCUAACUUCGUG
RNAcentral lists this ribosomal RNA (492 nucleotides) under uncultured bacterium. Its description in RNAcentral is "partial 16S ribosomal RNA". It matches the Rfam family "Bacterial small subunit ribosomal RNA", at positions 29 to 507 of the family's 1533-position model. The record is from RNAcentral.